AUAAAAAGGUUUUGGCGCAAAACUUUCUACAAAAAAGCUCAUCCACCUUUAUUUUCCCUCAAAACCCUAGCCACGUCUUGGCAUAGACUGCUUUCUUUAAACUCAAACCCUUAGUUACCCUUCCGCUUACUUUUUAUUUCUCUCACUCAUUAUUUGAUCCCUCACCCAGAUUUCUUCUUUCUCUGGAAAUAUCAGAUCUCGUUCACUCACAUCGCACAUAAUCCCCGUAACAUUAAAAUUAAUAGCCUCGAUUUUUUUCAUAAAUUUAUCAAAUUAAAGUUAGGGCUUGUAUAAAUCUCUGUUAAAAUUGAAGAUUCAAGAUUUAGGGUUUCUAUAGAUCUCUGUAAUCUCUUUUUUUUUUUCCAUUGUGGAUUUGUACAAAUACUUAAAUUUGUUGUGAAAUUUGUGUGUUUCUGUACCAAAAUUAGCAUUUUCUAGGGUUUAAUUUUUUCUUUCAAUUUAUGCUGAUGAUAGAGGUAAUUGCGUUCAAUUUGUUUUUUUUUUCCUUUCCUUUUAAGUUAUACUUUGUCUUGACAAGAACAAUUUUUCUAAUUUUUUUCUUGUUCGUUCCUCUAAUUCCAACUGCAAUGAUGAUUAUGAAUUGAAAAACUCAUUCAAUCUGAGCUGAGUUUUUCGGUUAAAAUUUUUAUACUAACAACAACUAGAAAUUAUAGGUUUGAAGUUUUUGUUUUUGAUUGUUCUUAUCCAAUUCUUUUCACUGAUUUUUAAGUUAUUUUGAAAGAACUCCUUAUAAUUUUACUUUGUUUUCAAAAUAAUUUGGGUAAUUUUGGAUCGAAGUCUAUUUCUUCUCAUUUCUGAAUCCGAAUAUUAGAUAUGGGUUUGUUAAUUAGGGUAAAAUUGAAUAAAUUGUGGGUUUGAUCUUGAUAGAUGUUAUCUCAUAUGAUGUUUGAGGUACACUAUUUAUUGUCGGAAGAGUGAGUAUCUUAUUUCAGAUUUUACAAAUGUAUUAUUUUUCUCAAUUUCAAAUUUGUAUUGGAGCAACUUUUCAUGGAUUUUGUUGAUUCUCUCAUGAUUUAUCAUUAUCUGAUGUUACCCCUAGUUCAGUCCUUUUUGGUUUGUCAGAUGGUAAGGAUUCGUCCGAUUUUAUUUAUUUUUUUCUUCUGGAAGUUUCAUUGUUGAAACUGUAUAUGAAUUAAGGUUUAAUUAUGUGUUUAUUUAUCUUAAUUUUUGGUUUUUGAUUCAACUGAUUCAAUUUUAGUAUUGGACAGUUGCAAAUGUACUGGUCACAAAACAGAUGUUGAAGUUGCUGUUGACAAUUAUGAAUAUGAUUUCUUAUUAUUACUGAUAGCAGUUGAGGGAAGCAUGCUCCUCGGUAGUUUGUGGGGAUACGAGGAAGGUGUUGUUAUAGGAAACAUACUUCAGUAGUAUGUUGCUGAUAUUUAUUUGAUAAUGUCUUGAUCAUGUUUGGAUGUCUUUUACUAUGAUCUUGUUUUGUAUGCUUUCAGUUGUGUUUUGCUUGGUUCUUAUGAAGUUAGGAUUACUCCAUACCCUGAUUUGCUCAACACACUGAUUUUCAGUCCUAAUCCUAGGUAGAAGAAGAGGGAAGAUGUGAUUCACCGUUUCCGUUGAAGAUGAAGGUGCAUCAUGCAUUGUUGGAUCAGAAAAUCAAAUUGUGAGAAGUAGAGUUGGAGCUAGAGUUGAGAUGGUAAGAAGUGGAAUCAUAGCUAGAUCUGGUAUGGUCAAGAAUAGGAUUCGAGAGCACUUGGUAGCGGGUUUAGAGAUGAAGUAAGCAACAACUUCUGACUUGCUUAUCGAGGGAGUUGGGGCCUGGGUUGCUGAGUGUAAGACUUAUUCAUACCGAUGUGAAGCCAGAAAACAUUUUGUUUGUUUCUCCAAAGUACAUCAGGGUGCCCGAUUACAAGAAACCUGCUCGGUGAUUCAGCGUUUUGACUUUAAUAGCAAUGACAAGCACAAACUUAUAGGGUAAGAAAUUUCUUGUUGUUCUUCACGUAUAUAGGAUACCCUAUACUAUAUAACUUCACUCUUACUAGGGUUCAAGAGAAAUCCACAUGUCAGUUGCAGAAUUGGAGUUAGUUCACAGAAACAAACAUGGAGAUCAGAGUAAGGGUCUUGAGGCACAAAUUUUAUGGAUAGCUAUACCGAGGAAAGUCUUUAUAGGGUUUCUGACUUCCUUGGAAGCAACUUUCAGCUUGAGUUCAUAUUAGCUGUUGAUUCUACAGCUUCAUAUGGAUAUUCCUAAAAUCAAUUAGAUGCUUAUCAACAUGUGAAUUUACAUUGUUAUAGUUUGCUUCGUCGGAGAUUCACUUCCCGGUUCUGAUGAAGAUUCUUACUCAAUCGACGAGGUCAUUAAGCAGAAUAUGACCAACAUUGGUGCAUCGAGUGUUUCGUUGAAGAUAUUACUCAAUCGUCUAGGUCAUUAAGCAAAAUAUGACUAUCAUUUAUACUUUUAAGGUUCUAUUGCAGAUUCCUACUCAAUCGACUGGGUCAUUAAGCAGAAUAUGACCCUCAGUACAUUUAGGAUUCCAGUGAAUAUUCUUGAAAGUGUAAGGUCAAUAGGCAAGAUGGACAUGACUGUAUGAUCCACGCCUUAUAUAGUACUUUUCAUGCAACAAAAUAGAUAAAAGGAAAGAGAUCCAAGUUAUUCCAGUGAACUUGGAGCUCAACCAAGUUUAGCUUGCUAUGUAUGUUAAAUAUUUAGUCAACGGUGAAGUCCAUUGUACUUAUUAAGUCCAUCAAGGGUUGAUUUCUGCAGAGAGAAAGAAAAACGAGUUUUUGGA
Papaver somniferum (opium poppy) is the source of this 2759-nucleotide long non-coding RNA. RefSeq lists it as uncharacterized. The record is from RefSeq and is a predicted model, not a curated record. NCBI's taxonomy places the organism in Eukaryota, Viridiplantae, Streptophyta, Magnoliopsida, Ranunculales, Papaveraceae. The transcript has 6 exons.